This 521-nucleotide ribosomal RNA is filed under the name Leisingera caerulea. RNAcentral's name for it is "bacterial SSU rRNA". It matches the Rfam family "Bacterial small subunit ribosomal RNA", at positions 978 to 1519 of the family's 1533-position model. The record is from RNAcentral. Lineage: Bacteria; Pseudomonadati; Pseudomonadota; Alphaproteobacteria; Rhodobacterales; Roseobacteraceae.
CCCUUGACAUCCCAGGACCGGCCCAGAGAUGGGUCUUUCACUUCSGUGACCUGGUGACAGGUGCUGCAUGGCUGUCSUCMGCUCSUGUCSUGAGAUGUUCGGUUAAGUCCGGCAACSAGCGCAACCCACAUCCUUAGUUGCCAGCAGUUCGGCUGGGCACUCUAAGGAAACUGCCCGUGAUAAGCGGGAGGAAGGUGUGGAUGACGUCAAGUCCUCAUGGCCCUUACGGGUUGGGCUACACACGUGCUACAAUGGCAGUGACAAUGGGUUAAUCCCAAAAAACUGUCUCAGUUCGGAUUGUCGUCUGCAACUCGGCGGCAUGAAGUCGGAAUCGCUAGUAAUCGCGUAACAGCAUGACGCGGUGAAUACGUUCCCGGGCCUUGUACACACCGCCCGUCACACCAUGGGAGUUGGGUUUACCCGAAGGCCGUGCGCCAACCUUUCGAGGRGGCAGCGGACCACGGUGAGCUCAGCGACUGGGGUGAAGUCGUAACAAGGUAGCCGUAGGGGAACCUGCGGCU